Paramacrobiotus metropolitanus is the source of this 341-nucleotide long non-coding RNA. RefSeq lists it as uncharacterized. The record is from RefSeq and is a predicted model, not a curated record. Lineage: Eukaryota; Metazoa; Tardigrada; Eutardigrada; Parachela; Macrobiotidae. The transcript is spliced from 3 exons.
CGAACCCGUUAGGUGUUUUGCGAAGCAAAGUGUCGGCGGAACCGCCCCUGGAUAUGUCAUGUUCCGUUGUUUUCGCCAUUCGGGACGCGAUAAGCGCUAGUCACGCAGAAUUGGGCCACCAGGCGGCUUGGUUUGAUUUGGUUUGUCCAAUGACAGUGGAGCGGACUCAGCAGUAUUGUGGAUUUGAUAUUGCGCAGCUGCGUUAUCGCGACUAGGUACGCCGCGCUAGUGAAUUUUUAUUGUAGUUUCAGUUCCUGCCAGUAGUUACUUAUCCGCGAUAACAAACUUCCAUCUCCCAACUGCGCUCCUUAUGCCCGGCUCUUAAUAGAUUACAGUUAUAA